UACGUAGGGGGCUAGCGUUGUCCGGAAUCAUUGGGCGUAAAGCGCGUGUAGGCGGUUCGGUAAGUCCGCUGUGAAAGUCGGGGGCUCAACCCUCGGAUGCCGGUGGAUACUGUCGGGCUUGAGUACGGAAGAGGCGAGUGGAAUUCCUGGUGUAGCGGUGAAAUGCGCAGAUAUCAGGAGGAACACCAAUUGCGAAGGCAGCUCGCUGGGACGUUACUGACGCUGAGACGCGAAAACGUGGGGAGCAAACAGG
RNAcentral lists this ribosomal RNA (253 nucleotides) under uncultured bacterium. RNAcentral describes it as "partial 16S ribosomal RNA". It matches the Rfam family "Bacterial small subunit ribosomal RNA", at positions 524 to 776 of the family's 1533-position model. The record is from RNAcentral.